This is a long non-coding RNA of Mauremys mutica (yellowpond turtle), 1961 nucleotides long. RefSeq lists it as uncharacterized. The record is from RefSeq and is a predicted model, not a curated record. The transcript is spliced from 3 exons. NCBI's taxonomy places the organism in Eukaryota, Metazoa, Chordata, Testudines, Geoemydidae.
GGAGAGAGCGAGCUCGGCGGCCAUGUUGGUGGUGUGGGUUCGCCGUUAGCUCGGAGGAGCGGCCGGGAAAUCGGAUUAAAAUGUCGGCAAGGGGCGGGCGGGAGCUGAAUGCUCAGGGGCGAAUGCGUGGCUAGGCCUCCGUCCCGGGGGAGAUGGUGCGAUGGUCCCGCCCUUCAUCGAUGGAAGUAGGUGUUUUCCCCACCGGACCUGCUCGGGCAUUUAGUAACACUGCGGAGUCCUUAAAGACACCAAGGCAACGGACAACGUCAUCUGAGGGCACAGGUUCCCAAUGCUGUGCAUGGGAUCAGUUCCCUGAAGACAUUUUCCCUCUUCCUUCCAGCAGUCUCAGGCUUGACUGGAUUCAGCUUUAAUCAGCUGUUCUUCAUCCAGGAUAUACUGAUACUGAGGAAAUGGAAUGCAAUUGUCCCUCCUCUGCUGCUUCUUUUUUUUUUUUUUAAAGCUGCAGGUACCCAUGCUCAGAAUUUUGAGCCAACACUCUGCCUUCUUCCUUCCUCCUACAAAACUGCCAGUUGGGAUUGAUGGAGGGGAGGGGAUGCACUUUAGGCCUUAAUUUUAGCUGGAGUCAAAUAAAAAUAUUGCUGUGUUGGUAACUGAAGAAAAGGUAAAUGACGUGGUGUAUGUUGUUAGAUCAAAAUGGCAAAGAUGUGUCUUACGCCUCAUGGUUCCUCUUUCAGAUGUAUGUGGAUGUUACAAAAAGCAGUUUUACCAAGUGCUGCAUUCUUUUCCUAGUUUCUUCACUGCCUGAGUCAGUAUCUGCUGGAAUUAUUUGUGCUAAGGAGGAGAAAUUAGUAUUUUUUGUUGUUGUUUUUUUAAAGAAGGUGGGGGGGAUAUAUAAUUGCAGAAGAACAGCUGUCUAAGCUUUUCAAAUUAAAUCUGGCCUAGAUCUGUGCAGCUGGAACCUCUUCAUAUUAAGCAAAAGUGGUAAGUAUUUUGAUGGAGUACUUAGAUAAUGUUUGAUUUGCCUUCUGUGAAAGACUAUUCUGUAUGUUAUCUGCUAACAUUGUCAGAGAUGAAUCAGCCAGCUUUUUCAUCUUUACGACUUCCUGACCAGCAAACAGCGAAGUGUGGUGGGCAGAUUCUAGAAACCUUUCUUCAGUGGAUGAUGUGUGGGAAGCCUGCUUGUACACCUUCACUGCUGUCCCCUAUUUUUAUGAAUAUACAAUUUACUUUGAUUCCAAUGUUUUCUUUGCCUAAAGAAAAUAGGUUUCCUCUUCCCACGCAGACAUAGAAGGUUGAUGCUCUUGUCACAGUAAUUGCCAGGGAAGGCCAACUUAAAGCACGAGGCAUUUGCAAUAUCAAGUUGGCUUGUAAGUCUGGUGCAUGAAAAGUGGUAUAGAACAGAUUUUAUUAUAUUACAUAAUACACUUUUUCCCCCCACCAGUGUGGAGCUUUCCAGUCUUUGUUACUGUCAGUCUGCAGCCAUCUGUGAUGUUCAUUCAUCACAAUUUGCCAUGGCCUUCAGAAGUUUCACUUAUACAUGUCACACUGUGCAUCUGUGAAGUGAUUUCUAGAAUUUCUGUGUUUUCAGUCACUAAGAGUAUAGUUCCAAGUUACACAACAGGCUCACAUGCUGACACUGUAGUGCUGACUCUGUAGUGUUGCAGGAGAUGGUGCUGCAAUAGUGGAAGUGCUGUUAUUUUAGAUAACAUGGUAAGUUUUCAAGUGGUUCUGUAGUUGAAGAUGGAGCUUGACACUUCUCAAAAUAAGUAGGUGAAUCCUUUGUCUAUUCUAAUACUGCUUUUAUCAGUAAACUCAUUCCGGUGUCUGUACAACACCUCAGCCCCAAUUAUGUUUGCCUGUACUUGCACUGUUAGUGUAAUCUAACCUUUUAUGAUUUGAAGACACUUCAGACUGUCACAAUUGUGAAAGUGACUGUAGUCUAGUGGUUUUCAAACUUUUUUUUCUGGUGAUCCAGUUGAAUAAAAUUGAUGUCCACAACC